Molecule: long non-coding RNA, 388 nt
Organism: Polyodon spathula (Mississippi paddlefish)
Lineage: Eukaryota; Metazoa; Chordata; Actinopteri; Acipenseriformes; Polyodontidae
Exons: 4
Source: RefSeq, a predicted model, not a curated record
UGCUGCACAGAAGUGACCUGACUUCUCCUGUGUUACCCUUUGCCAACCACAUUACUCGCGUACACAAAUAUGAGCUACUUACAGCAAAGGGCAAAUAUAAAUUACCUCACUGCUGCUGCACUGCCAUCACCUCUUAAGAAUUAGCUGACUGUGCACCACUGCAGGGGCUGAGGAACAAUCUCUCUGUGUAUAACCUUCAGGCAAGAUUUACUCUUCCUGUCUCUCUACCAAACAUUGUGCAUUUUUGACCAUUCUGUCAAGGAGGCUGCCGCUAUGCACCUCCUCCCACUCCCACCCUAUUUUGUGGCAGACCGGAACAUUCUUUAAGCUUUUUUUUUCUGGAAAAAGCUCAUCCAGAACCCCGCUGCUAGUCUGGUGUUCUCUCUCU